Long non-coding RNA from Ailuropoda melanoleuca (giant panda), 3319 nucleotides. RefSeq lists it as uncharacterized. The transcript has 3 exons. The record is from RefSeq and is a predicted model, not a curated record. Lineage: Eukaryota; Metazoa; Chordata; Mammalia; Carnivora; Ursidae.
CAGGGCCUGCUCACGUGACCUCUGCAUGCUCUCCCCUGCGCGGAGCUAGAUGCGUGGGCUGCCCACUGCGCUGAAGCCGCUGAAGCCGCUGAAGUGAGACGUGUUGUCGGAGUGAGCCUGCGCCCAGAAUGACCAGGAGCAGCAGGGCGCCGAUCUGUUGGGCGGUGACGAGAAAGAGUCUGCUGCUGACGCUUGGGGUCAGUACAGCUGUCUUCAGUGGACAACACAGUGACGAUGGCUGCAAGAGAGCGCGGAGUAAGGAGAGGCAUGCAGCGGGUGACCCGGUGCUCAGGCUGACCAUGGCCGUAUGGAGCCUGGGUUCUGGGAGGGGUGGAAACCACCUCUAGCCCCCAGAGCCAUUCCCAGAGAGGAUUGGACUAAGACAGUUCUUCCCAAGCCUGAGCAAGCAUGGAAGUCAUCUGGAAUGUUCAUCGAAACUCAGCUUACUGGGGCCACCUCGGAGUCUCUGCUUCUGGAGCCGCCCCACUUCCCUCAUGACUGCCAGCCGUCUUUGAUGUCAACUAACCGAGACUAGAAUGUCUGCUGCUCAAGGAACCUGGGAGACCUAGCAGCUCUGCGAGGCAGUAAGGAAUGUCCAUUCCAGUUCAGGCAAACCAAGAGCCAACCAAACAGCUCUGCUGGUGUUUCUUUUUACGCUGCUGUGACCAUGCCCAGAGAGCUAUCUUCCAUAUCCCUUGCAAGCACAGUUUUACUCCCACAUGCGGAAUAGAGCUGCUUGAGUUCACUCUUGCUCAAAAUGAGAGCAUUAAAGGAGAUGACCACACCACCUGUCAGUUACUAAUUCAUACUUUUGGCAAUUUCUUGAAAAAUUGUUACCAUAUGCCAGGUGCUAUGCUAAGUUCCAAAAGACUUGUUCUUUGCCCUUAAGGAGGCAACAGCUGGUGAGGAAGACAGGCAAGUGAAUACAUUUCCUGGCAUCUGGAAAGCCUUCAAUAAAGGGGCGUCGUGGAGUAUGGGCUUCAUGGGUGAAAAUGGAUGAAGGCAUUCAGAGCAGAGGACACAGUAUUGGGGCACAGCAUGACACAGAUUUCUGCAAACUGUAUGUUGGUAUGACUGGAAUGAAGGAUUUUUAUUUAUUCCGUCAAAAAGCCCAAGUGUCGGGCGCUAUAUUUAGAAGGCCCAGCUUUGGGGUCUCUGCCCAGUGAAGGGUGGCAAAGAGCAGCAUGGCUCUGAGUGAGGUUAGAACAGCUGGGCCCAGUUGUGAAGGGCUUCAUGUACUAAGGCUUCAUAACGAAAGCAGUGGCUUGGGAUGUGAUGCCACGGGCAGUCAGGAGCCACUGAAGGUCUUAAACGUGAAGGCCCAAGGGACAGGGGACAUGAGUCAGAUAAAGAGAGGCAUUGUGGGGCCCUUUGCUUUAACCCUUAAGAUCCCAGCAAUCUGGGAACUGGAAUCCCAGCUCUUGAGGCACGAGGCGCCCAGUGAUGGGCAGAUGGCUGAAGGCACCAUUCCAGAAGAAAGCAAUCAUGGGCUAGGAGGCCAGGUUCUCAUCUGGCAGCCUCCUGGGGGAGUUUGCCUCUUGGGAGCAUCCCCUGGGGACAGGAACAGAAGUUGGGGGCAGGGAGGUGUGGGGUGGCAACAGCCACCUCCCUGCUGUGGAUGGAGAGCUACUUUUCUGGCUGUGUUAAAAGUUUCAUCAGAAAGAGGCUGUCCUGGCAGUGAUAGGGUAAAGAAUUUAGGGCUGAUUCAGUGUGUCUCCUUUCCAAAAGGGAGCCCAGGGGACAUGUGGGCUCCUUGAGAUGGGGGCCACAAGGGGCAUGUCAGUAUAGCUGCUGCAGGGCCUGGAAUGUCCACCUUCACAGAUUCCAUGGGAGGGUCCCCAGUCCCUCCUUUUCCAGCCCAUCUCUCCUGUGCAUCCCUUCACCACCAGCCUGGUGGAAGCGAGGCCUGUACAGGGCAGGCAGGAGGCUGGACCAGCCCCCAUGGCAGCCUUCUUCCAGACUCCUGAGAGGCAGGCCUGGUCUUGCCUCCUUUUGUGUCAGACUUCCCUUCUCUGACCCCAGUUCCAUUUCAAACAAGCCCUCUCCUCAGCCUCAGCACCGAGCACUCAGGGCUGGUUCUUUCUACAAUUGUCCCCUGGUGCCAGAGACGGUGCGCUGGGCGCUCAGCGUUGCUGAGACUGGUUCCUGGGCCGGCUGUGAGCACUUGCACUUUCAUGCUCAGGGCACAACCAGCUCCUCUCUGCGUUUUCUCACGCAGACCGCUCUUGUAGCAGUGGAACUGCGAGCACCUUUGCUGCUAACGAGAAAUUCUGCAGAACCAGACAGAAAACCAACACACCAAGUGUUCUCCUGACUCCACGUCCUCCUCCGUUAGCAAAAGGUCAUUGUCCUCAGAGACCCACAGCGAAUAGAGCACAGCCCCUUCUGCUGGGCCUUAUGGAGCACACUGAAGGCGUUCGCAGCUCCAACCCUGUCGUGGGGGGCUAAGAACUGACUUGGGGUGGGUUAUGCCCUGUCUCUGGGCUUCAGUUUUCUCACCUGUGAAAUGGAGUGACAGGCAUGACUUUCUCAGGGUAGAGGAUUACUUAGCCAUGCAAAGCAUUGAGCGUCUGGACACGGGAAGCACUCGGUAAUGCUGGACACAUUCUUAGCACCACCACUCUCAUCACCAUGAUACCAUCUCUCCUGGAAGGCUGACUCCUGUGCCCCUUCUCCAUGAAACCAUCCCCAGUUUCCAAGUGGCAGAAACCUGUUCUGCCUUGUGCUUUCAUAGGACUCAAUUUGCAUCUCUCCUUUGGCUCUUGAGUUUUCUACAUCAAAUGUGUGGUUUGCUUGCUCACGUUGUCUUGCACACCAUUAUAUGCUCUGACCCUGACAAUUCCUGAUAGGUCAGAAUUUUUUGCAGGACAGACAUUCUGGCCCUGCCGAUACUUUGCUAGAUUUCUGCACGAUAGCUUCAUGCUCCCAGAAGUCGUUUCCGUUGCUGGUUUUGGUACAGGAAGCACAUAGGUUUGUCUAAAACCUUUAGGUUGCCUUUGGGCGCAGGCCGUUACUUAACUAGGCCACGUGUAAGGCACCAGCCCAGACAAGGAGCCUAGGAUGGGACUGACAUCCACGUAAGCAGGUUAGAGACGUUGCUCUCAGGAAACCUGCACCUCUUACAGCCCCAAAUUCAAGCAAGCCCUUGACCUCCGCCACCAAUGGAAGGUCACACAUCCAAAGUGUCUUCAUUUCUCUCUCUGACCCCUACCACAUUUUUGUAAAAAUAAAAUGGGAAAUUAAAAAAAAUUACUCAAUCUUUACCUCCUAGAAGGCCUAAAACCUUUAAUCACAGAGAUUUCACAAGCUUUUACAAAAC